This 663-nucleotide long non-coding RNA is filed under the name Helianthus annuus (common sunflower). Lineage: Eukaryota; Viridiplantae; Streptophyta; Magnoliopsida; Asterales; Asteraceae. The record is from RNAcentral.
AAGCAUUGUACUUUGUCGUUGUCGAUAAUUCGAUAUACGAGUUGAAGUACUAUACUUUGUCGUUUGUCAUUUUGAUAAAUGAGCUGAAGUAUUGCACUUGGACAUUCAUUGUAAAAAUUGAUCUCGGGGAAUUAUCGUAACUGCUGUAUUGAUCAUUAACCUGGUUCUUGUAAAAUUCGUUAAGAGUUGAUUUAGGUUUUCACCAAUACGUAUUCCAUUCUGUUAAACUACCAAGAAUACUCCCAACUACACCCUUACAAUCAAACAAACUAUAAAAUCAUCAGAAGAUCCAGAAUAAUAAAGUGCAUGCUUAAUUAUCGGAAGAAGUAGAAUCAGGAAGUUUGUUAAUUCAAUCCUGCAUGCUGAUUGUAAUUACAAUAGAUUGGAGCAAGGAUUGGAUCCGACACUAAAGGACUUCAAGAAGUGGCUUAUUUUAUUAAUUAAAUCAAUUAAGAAAUAUUGUUUUUAUUAAAAGCUACCUUUGUAAAACAUGGAAUUUAUUCCAUCUUUUUAAAUAAAAUCCGGUGUUUCUAAACUCUGAUAUUUUUCCUAACUCACGGUCCUGAUGAAAUUUCCGCUGCAAUGUUUUUCAAAAUAAUCACCGGUACCACUGGACUGCUCACGGCACCGAUUCCGGCUAGAUGGGGUCGGGGGUCGUGACAC